This 148-nucleotide ribosomal RNA is filed under the name uncultured eukaryote. Its description in RNAcentral is "partial 18S ribosomal RNA". It matches the Rfam family "Eukaryotic small subunit ribosomal RNA", at positions 1299 to 1458 of the family's 1831-position model. The record is from RNAcentral.
UGGUGGAGUGAUUUGUCUUGUUAAUUCAGUUAACGAACGAGACCUCUCCCUGCUAAAUAGUCCGGCGAACUGUUCGCAGUUCGAUCCUUACCGUGACUUCUUAGAGGGACAAUCGGUGUGUAGCCGAUGGAAGUUGGAGGCAAUAACA